RNAcentral lists this ribosomal RNA (468 nucleotides) under uncultured bacterium. Its description in RNAcentral is "partial 16S ribosomal RNA". It matches the Rfam family "Bacterial small subunit ribosomal RNA", at positions 28 to 507 of the family's 1533-position model. The record is from RNAcentral.
GACGAACGCUGGCGGCGUGCUUAACACAUGCAAGUCGAACGGAAAGGCCCUGCUUUUGUGGGGUGCUCGAGUGGCGAACGGGUGAGUAACACGUGAGUAACCUGCCCUUGACUUUGGGAUAACUUCAGGAAAUUGGGGCUAAUACCGGAUAGGAGCUCCUGCUGCAUGGUGGGGGUUGGAAAGUUUCGGCGGUUGGGGAUGGACUCGCGGCUUAUCAGCUUGUUGGUGGGGUAGUGGCUUACCAAGGCUUUGACGGGUAGCCGGCCUGAGAGGGUGACCGGCCACAUUGGGACUGAGAUACGGCCCAGACGCCUACGGGAGGCAGAAGUGGGGAAUAUUGCACAAUGGGCGGAAGCCUGAUGCAGCAACGCCGCGUGCGGGAUGACGGCCUUCGGGUUGUAAACCGCUUUCGCCUGUGACGAAGCGGGAGUGACGGUAAUGGGUAAAGAAGCACCGGCUAACUACGUG